RNAcentral lists this unclassified non-coding RNA (253 nucleotides) under uncultured Caryophanales bacterium. Its description in RNAcentral is "uncultured Bacillales bacterium contains 16S-23S intergenic spacer region". It matches the Rfam family "Bacterial small subunit ribosomal RNA", at positions 524 to 776 of the family's 1533-position model. The record is from RNAcentral. Lineage: Bacteria; Bacillati; Bacillota; Bacilli; Caryophanales.
UACGUAGGUGGCAAGCGUUGUCCGGAAUUAUUGGGCGUAAAGCGCGCGCAGGCGGUCCUUUAAGUCUGAUGUGAAAGCCCACGGCUCAACCGUGGAGGGUCAUUGGAAACUGGGGGACUUGAAUACAGGAGAGGAAAGUGGAAUUCCACGUGUAGCGGUGAAAUGCGUAGAGAUGUGGAGGAACACCAGUGGCGAAGGCGACUUUCUGGCCUGAUAUUGACGCUGAGGCGCGAAAGCGUGGGGAGCAAACAGG